GGUGUUUGUGUAUAGGAAUAGUAAUAAGGUUGAGUGCACUGUGUUGGAGAAGGAGAUGAUGAGGAGAAAGAUGAAAGCUUGGAAGAAAAAAGAAGUGAUUAGGGGUUUUUUUUUUUUUUUUUUUUUUUGCUAACAGAAAGGUGUGGAAGUUUCGCAGGAGGUGAGUUUGGAGAAGUCAUUGGUGUUCUUUGAGAAACCUAAGUUUGAUAGUAUAUCUAAAGUAAAGGGUCCAGAGAAGAAGUUGGAACUCUGUUGAAUCUAUGGACUUUGAUGAUAAGAUCCAUAAAAUCAAAGCAAUGGCUAGGCUACUUUAGAGGUGGUUUCCGGCCAAAUAUAAGGAAAUUGUAUCAAGAUAAAGUUAUCUG
This 365-nucleotide long non-coding RNA is filed under the name Brassica napus (rape). RNAcentral's name for it is "long non-coding RNA (BNAP_LNC005020)". Lineage: Eukaryota; Viridiplantae; Streptophyta; Magnoliopsida; Brassicales; Brassicaceae. The record is from RNAcentral.